AAUUCCCUCAGUUAUUAUAGUUGAUGCCAUUGAACACAACACUAACACAUACGUACAGUAGAACACUAACACCUAUUUUGAAGGAGAAGGAAGUUGAAGCAAUUUUCGAACGCAAUCCAAGCGGAGAUAUUGAAUCGUGCAAUUGCUUGAUGAAAAGAUCAGGAGCCGGCUAGAGAGGAUAAGGAUGCGGCUGCCGAUCAGGAGGAGGAGCAGGAUGGCGAAAAAGAUCAGGAGCCGACUAGAGAGGAUAAGGAUGCGGCUGCCGAUACUGAGAAGCCCCCUCCUGAAGCUUAAGCCUUGUAUUUUUCUUGCGGCCUGAUGGCCAUGUAUUACUUUCUCCGGCCUGCGUGCCGUAUGUUUUCUUGUAUCUUUACCGACCGAGGGGUCGGGUUAUUUGACAAUCUUUUCCGAUUGUACCAGUUAACUCAUUUUAGUCGACCAUAAGGUCGGCUAAGUUUAAUUUAUGAAUCAUUCGGUCAUUCGGCCGGUUCUUCCAUUUUGCACUUGUUUUGCAAAACUUUAGAGGAAAAAAAAAAAAAAAAAAAAA
This is a long non-coding RNA of Chenopodium quinoa (quinoa), 547 nucleotides long. RefSeq lists it as uncharacterized. The transcript is spliced from 2 exons. NCBI's taxonomy places the organism in Eukaryota, Viridiplantae, Streptophyta, Magnoliopsida, Caryophyllales, Amaranthaceae. The record is from RefSeq and is a predicted model, not a curated record.